This 477-nucleotide ribosomal RNA is filed under the name uncultured bacterium. RNAcentral's name for it is "partial 16S ribosomal RNA". It matches the Rfam family "Bacterial small subunit ribosomal RNA", at positions 28 to 507 of the family's 1533-position model. The record is from RNAcentral.
GAUGAACGCUGGCGGCGUGCAUAACACAUGCAAGUCGAACGAUGAAACUUAGUCGACUUCUUCGGAAAGACACUAAGCGGAUUAGUGGCGAACGGGUGAGUAACGCGUGAGUAACCUGCCUUACACAAGGGGAUAGCCAUUUGAAACGAAGAAUAAUACCCUAUAAAACCAUAAAAGCACAUGCUAGAAUGGUCCAAGUGAUAGCGGUGUAAGAUGGACUUGCGUCUGAUUAGCUAGUUGGUGAGAUAAAAGCUCACAAAGGCAACGAGCAGUAGCCGGCUUGAGAGCAGGUACGGCACCAUUGGGACUGGGACCAGGACCAGACCCCCACGGAAGGCAGCAGUGGGGAAUGUUGAACACUGGGGGAAACCCGGAGGCAGCGACGCCGCGAGAUUUAGAAGGCCUUGGGGUUGUAAAAAUCUUUUGUCUAGGAAGAAAAUGACGGUACUAUACGAAUAAGGUCCGGCUAAUUACGUG